Molecule: small nuclear RNA, 291 nt
Filed under: Microcebus murinus (gray mouse lemur)
Lineage: Eukaryota; Metazoa; Chordata; Mammalia; Primates; Cheirogaleidae
Description: 7SK RNA (ENSMICG00000025886.3)
Rfam family: 7SK RNA
About the family: 7SK was discovered as an abundant small nuclear RNA in the mid-70s but a possible function has only recently been suggested. Two independent studies have found that 7SK RNA binds the CDK9/cyclin T complex (known as elongation factor P-TEFb).
Source: Rfam by way of RNAcentral
GGGUGUGAGGGUGGUCCUGCCGGGACACCAGGCACCCAUCGAUUGCCUGGGUUGAUUUUGCUGAUCUAACCAGUGGGCUAGGUGUCUGGCCUCCUUCCUCCCCAUUCCAUGCAUGUUCUUCCUGGUGCUGCAGACCAAGUCAGAGAGAGGGGGCCUUCCCCUGUAGAGCAUCAUUCUUUGGCCAAGGGUGUGUGAUGACUUUGUCUGUUAUCUGGCAUUCUAAGGGAAUAUAGUGUUCUGGUUAAUCUUAUUGGAGUAACUAAAAUACUGAACAUGAGUAUUAUAAUUUUU